RNAcentral lists this ribosomal RNA (484 nucleotides) under uncultured bacterium. RNAcentral describes it as "partial 16S ribosomal RNA". It matches the Rfam family "Bacterial small subunit ribosomal RNA", at positions 28 to 523 of the family's 1533-position model. The record is from RNAcentral.
GACGAACGCUGGCGGCGUGCUUAACACAUGCAAGUCGAACGAUGAAGCUGGAGCUUGCUCCGGUGGAUUAGUGGCGAACGGGUGAGUAACACGUGAGAAAUCUGCCCUUGACUCUGGGAUAACUGCGGGAAACUGUAGCUAAUACCGGAUACUUUCCCUGGUGGGCAUCCACUGGGGAAGAAAGAAUUUCGGUCAAGGAUGGUCUCGCGGCCUAUCAGCUUGUUGGUGAGGUAAUGGCUCACCAAGGCGACGACGGGUAGCCGGCCUGAGAGGGUGACCGGCCACACUGGGACUGAGACACGGCCCAGACUCCUACGGGAGGCAGCAGUGGGGAAUAUUGCACAAUGGGCGCAAGCCUGAUGCAGCAACGCCGCGUGAGGGAUGAAGGCCUUCGGGUUGUAAACCUCUUUUAGCAGGGAAGAAGCGAAAGUGACGGUACCUGCAGAAAAAGCACCGGCUAACUACGUGCCAGCAGCCGCUGUAA